GUCGUUUCUCCCUUGUGGGUCACCGAAAAAAGGGAAUCUGAGACUGAGCGGAGUCCAUCUCUUUCUUUAGAUGUCCGUGCCAUAACCAAAAAGGUAGCUUUUUUUUCUUAGACAUAAGUCUACCUUUGCUGGCCGGGCGAGGUUCAUCCUAGCACCCCAAAUACAAAUUAAACACUCUCGUCCCUUUUUGUGUACCUACUAAUGGUACGUAUUAUGUUAGUUGAUAAGAUUGUAAUACACCAUGCAGUAUGCCAUUGUGGAAGAAUUCAAAACGGCAUACAGGUUGAAGAGGUUGGUUGAGAUCCUAGGAAUCAUGUUCAAAUUCAGAAACAUCAGCAGAGGAGUGGCCCGACGACGGGUGUCGUUAUUUGCUGUAUGGAACCAGGUUGAACGGCCUGGCUGUCUCCGACAUCCUCCUCCUCCUCCUUUGGUUCCUCGCCCACUACAACUCAACCUGCGGUGGCUUGGGUUAACAACUGGAUUGGGUACUUGGAGUGCUUCUUUUUGAUCAGAACUUUAAGAUAUGAUUCCUCCAAGUACUUUAGCGCGCAAUCCUUUAGAUGGACUUUGAGCGACUACCCUGGUGUCAUCCCACUUCUGCGUCUCCUCGUCCAUGGCUGGGCCCAGUUAGUUAACAGCCGGUAUGCUUCAUGCCUUGGCGUCCGCCAUGCUCUUAAUGAACGUAAAAGCAUGCUGCAACAUUCAGGUCAGUUUGAGCCUGCCACUUACUUGCUUCUCAGGUAGACAUCAAAUUGACAUAUCAACUUGAUUCGAUAACCCCAACUUGGAGUCUGAAGGGGCCUGGAAUUGUCAAUCAAUGUUCAAAGUCAUCAGAUGUCAUCCCAUCCCCUCUUCAUUCAAUAGUCACACAUCCAUCUCCUAUCAAGGAUUGAAUGAUGAAUGAUCGAUUGAUUGAUCAAGCAACCAACAACGCCUAUCUCCCAAAUCCGGAUUCAUCUCCUCCCGUCCAGACAAUAAUAGUGUCGACCCCAGUACACCCACCCACCCCAGGCCUGUCCUCGGGCUCAGCUUGGUCAUGGACCCGGCCAUAGUCCCGGCCCCUUCUUUUACAUCCAUCUGUGAGCAAGACUUGAGCGAGCCAACCCAAGGCUAGAUAGAUGGAUUCCAAAGAAGAUUGAUCCAAUUGAAGUUGUAUCAUAUCAUCAGAGACAACGGAGUCAUCCGCCCAUACUACCUGGAGGUUCUUGGCCGGUUCUUAGUCAGCCCUCAGCCGACACACACGCCCAUGAUUGGUCCUUGACGUACAUACACCCUCGAGACCCAAGCAUCAAGACCAGUCGGACACUUUUAGUUGCUCUUUCGUCCAUUUCCCUGCCCGCCAAUUUUAGCCGUGAAAGCCAGAUCAGUCGGAUCUCAACGGAUCAAGUCCUACCCACUGACUCUUCAAAGCUGCCCAUGACCAUCACCAUCCCUGUGAAAUGCCGUCUGUUCUAGUGGGCGGGUCACUAUUGGUUCUUUAAAACUCAACUCUUUCUAGUCAAUGCCAUCUGUAAUGUUAAAGAGAAUUUGGAUAUUUUUAUAGUUAUCAUGUUUAAUACUCUUACAAUAUUUAUGUUUACGUUUCUGACAUGACCUUUGGACUAUAUAUCGUUGUCAUAUUUCGACCUAUACUCGGCUAUUAAAUAG
This is a long non-coding RNA of Tigriopus californicus, 1647 nucleotides long. RefSeq lists it as uncharacterized. The record is from RefSeq and is a predicted model, not a curated record. The transcript is spliced from 3 exons. NCBI's taxonomy places the organism in Eukaryota, Metazoa, Arthropoda, Copepoda, Harpacticoida, Harpacticidae.